Molecule: long non-coding RNA, 595 nt
Organism: Sus scrofa (pig)
Lineage: Eukaryota; Metazoa; Chordata; Mammalia; Artiodactyla; Suidae
Source: RefSeq, a predicted model, not a curated record
UGUUACUGCAGUUAUCCAAUCAAGAUCCUGCUCUUAUAAAAGAAACACAAAGAGCUGUGCUGGGUGUUUCGUCUUGAAAGGCGUUUGAGUCUUUUGGCUGUUCAAGAGCUGCAUUUAAUAGGAGAAAAGACUCAUCAUGAUCUCUUCACCUCGAGUUGAUAGACAACUGACCUGGUUGCCAAGAAUAACCCAAGUCAAGUGUUCCUAUCGAUUCUGCAAAGUGUUCUUUUUAUUCUUUGCUGGAUUACUCGUACUGACUUUUGGAAUCGCGAUGGCCGCUAUCUCUCGGGACCGUCUACUGUUAACCCUGGCAAUGACUAUUGUGUCCACUGCCCUUGUUUUUCUCGUCGCUCUGGGAGUGGUGGUUUCUGAUGAGGUGUGCGGGAAGCCGGAGGAACCUGCUGCUCUCCGGGCGGAAGAAUCUUGGGGGUACAGAAUUGAACACGUUGAUGUUUAGGCGGAAGCAAUGGACCUACCAAGAGUGAGCAGCUGCCUCUUUGAUCUUCUCCGCCACCUGGAUCUCCUUAGGUCUUUGGACCUUUUUAAAGGUUCUUGAGCAUUUUUUAAUGGAAUAAACAUUGACUUUUAAAGAGCU